This 1114-nucleotide long non-coding RNA is filed under the name Marmota monax (woodchuck). Lineage: Eukaryota; Metazoa; Chordata; Mammalia; Rodentia; Sciuridae. The record is from RNAcentral.
GAAAUAUGUAGCUCUAUAGAAUAUUUACCUGAUUGGGAAAUGUAAAUGUAUAUAGUUUUAUUACACUGUAACAAAAGUUAAAAAUAGUUUAGGCAGGUGCAUACUAAAUAUCUUUUUUAAAAUUUUCUUUAGUGGUUCUGGGGAUCAAACCCAGGGCCUUGUGCCUCCUAAACACUGCUGUACCACUGAGCUACACCCCAAAUUCUUCAAUUUCUGUAUGUAUCUUAGAAAAAGUAAGGAGCUUGGCAUGGUGGCACAUGACUGUAAUCCUGGUGGCUUGGGUGACCGAGGCAGGAGGAUCACGAAUUCAAAGCCAGCCUGAGCAAAAGCAAGGCACUGAGCAACUCAGUGAGACACUGCCUCUAAAUAAAUAGAGCUGGGGAUGUGGCUCAGUGAUUGAGUGUCUCCGAGUUCAAUCCCCCGUACUCCUCCGCAAAAAAAUGAAACUGACUUUAAAAUCAUAACAUACUAGUAAUUUGUGCAUUUGUAAUGGUAAAAGAGAAUGGCCAUAGAAAAAAAAAAAGAAUGCUUAACUUGGAAUUCUGGUUCUGAGAGUGGUGGAUUUUCAAGUCCUGUAGGAAGCAGUAUUGUGAGAGGUUAGUGACCCAAUUUAGAUGUCUCUAAGAACAAACUUCCCUUCCAUGUAUUCUCUUCAGAAAGAAAUCACAAAAGCAUUUCUCACCAAUACCCUUUGGCUCAUAAUUCAACAGAACAGGGAAGAGGGAUAUGCUUUUGUUCAGUUAAUAAUAAUUACAUUCAAUACACUGAAUUUUCCUUUAGAGGUUAAAUUUUAAUAUCUACACUGUAAAUAUUUGGUUUGUUUGGCACUACUGUGAGUUCUGCUUUUACACAAAGCUCUUUGUGACAAACCAAAACGAAAACUGUAGUUUCCUAUGUGGGUUUUAAAAUUCAGGUGAUCUUUAAUUAAACUGCCAAAAUUUAAAGUGCAAUAUUGUAUAUUUUUAGGAACAAAUUUAAAAUAGAAUUUUGAUGUUUCUCAGAUCAGGAGAAAUACAAAUUGACAUAGAAAAAUAAAAUUAGCAAAAAGGUUAAUGCCUGUCAUUAUUUGAAAUUAAAAUUGGUAAUGGUUACAAUAGUCUUUACAAAUAUGUGG